UUCACCAAGGAGUAUAAUUUUGAGCUGCUUUUUUUUAUUUUAAUUUAUUUUUUUUUUUUUUACUUCUAUGAUUCUUAUAGUUUAAAGAAGGAAGCUUACCACUGUUUACAAUACCACAGCUACUCUGGAAGGUCUACAAGCUGUUGCAGUUGGCUAUCUGUAGGAGGUCCUCAAGCUGCUCAUGAAGAAUUUAGGCAAUCAGUUCACUCCAAACUGAAUUCUUUCCACAGUGAAGAAGAGGGAAAGCAGACAAAACUAAACCAGAACCUUCUUCAUCUAUAUAAAUUAAAUGUAUGACUCUUAGAUGUGGAUGAGUAGC
This is a long non-coding RNA of Athene cunicularia (burrowing owl), 319 nucleotides long. RefSeq lists it as uncharacterized. The transcript is spliced from 3 exons. NCBI's taxonomy places the organism in Eukaryota, Metazoa, Chordata, Aves, Strigiformes, Strigidae. The record is from RefSeq and is a predicted model, not a curated record.